UGCGAGCGUGACGGCGCGAGCAGGUGCGAAAGCAGGUCAUAGUGAUCCGGUGGUUCUGAAUGGAAGGGCCAUCGCUCAACGGAUAAAAGGUACUCCGGGGAUAACAGGCUGAUACCGCCCAAGAGUUCAUAUCGACGGCGGUGUUUGGCACCUCGAUGUCGGCUCAUCACAUCCUGGGGCUGAAGUAGGUCCCAAGGGUAUGGCUGUUCGCCAUUUAAAGUGGUACGCGAGCUGGGUUUAGAACGUCGUGAGACAGUUCGGUCCCUAUCUGCCGUGGGCGCUGGAGAACUGAGGGGGGCUGCUCCUAGUACGAGAGGACCGGAGUGGACGCAUCACUGGUGUUCGGGUUGUCAUGCCAAUGGCACUGCCCGGUAGCUAAAUGCGGAAGAGAUAAGUGCUGAAAGCAUCUAAGCACGAAACUUGCCCCGAGAUGAGUUCUCCCUGACCCUUUAAGGGUCCUGAAGGAACGUUG
Molecule: ribosomal RNA, 472 nt
Filed under: Shigella flexneri
Lineage: Bacteria; Pseudomonadati; Pseudomonadota; Gammaproteobacteria; Enterobacterales; Enterobacteriaceae
Description: partial 23S ribosomal RNA
Rfam family: Bacterial large subunit ribosomal RNA
Source: RNAcentral